UCCAGAAAGUGGAGACAUGAUCACUGACCUAGAACAGCUGAGAAAACUAAAUAGUAAGUGCCUGCAGAAGGGAUUUCUAACCAGAGGUACACUGUAUGACCCCCCCAAAAGUUCAAAGUUGGAGAGGGUAGGUACGGUUGAUGGCAGGGAUGAAACGUUUAGCUGAAAAUAAGAGAACUCAUUGAAAAAUCUGUAUUAUUGAAACUCCCCCAAAUAACUACCUCUCUCUGAACGCAGCAAGAGACAGAAUACUUACUGUCUGGAGAAAGCCAAGUACAGACCUGGGGACACCAGACACAGAUGAGGGCGAGACGUUCACUGAACUAAAACAACAGAGAUUAGGUGAGAAGCUACAUACAUCAGGUCCCAGAAUCCCGGCAGCCAGGGCUUUCCCCAAUCACUCCACAGUGAAGCUCGACAAGCACAUAAGACCAUUCAACUUGAACUGAGAACUAAAAAGUACUACACUUUUUGUUUCAAGUAAGCUCUAAGUCCAACAUGGGACUUGAACUCACAACCCCGAGAUCAAGAGUCUCAUGCUCUAUCGACUAAGCCAGCCAGGUGACUCUAAGAACUACCACACUUUUGAAGAAAACCUCCAACGUGAGAGAGAAAGAGAGCGAGACAGAGAGACAGAGAGAGGGGGGAAGGGAGAGAGAGAUGAACACAAGAGGAACCCAAGAAUCGGAGAAUACUAGGAGCAUAUAAACAUUUCACAAAACUAUGAAAUCUUCAGAGAGACAAGUUAGACACAUUAAACAGGAUUAGGAUGAAAAUAAAGAUGAAAAAGACAAUGAUAACUGAAAAAGGACUCUGGAAAUUGAAAAUGACAGCCAAACUUAAAAUUAAGUAGAUGGCUUGAAAGAUAGAGCCAAGGAAACAUCCUAGAAGAUACUCUAAAACAAAAAAGAUGGAAUACAGGAGCAGAGGGGAGACAAAACAAAACUCUGAUGAUCCAAUAUCUGACCAAGAGGAUUCCCAGAAAAAGAGAAGGGAAAAAUGGUAAGGUAGGAAUUACCAAAAGAAAGAAUAAGAAUUUCCCUUUCCAGAUGGAAAGGGGCCCAUCUACUACCCAGUCCAAUGAAUGAAAACUGACCCACACUAAGGCACAUCCAGGGAGAUUUCAACACAGGAAAUAAGUUAUACAAGCUUCCAGAGAAAAGAACCGGGUCUCUUGGAGAAGAUCAGAAAUCCGAACAGCAUCGACUUUCGGCACAAACACUGAAAGAUUCAAAGCCAACUGAGCCAGCGAGGCCGUCAGAAUGAUGAGCAAACGAUGUGACGCCUAAAUAAUCAUUCAAGUGCGAAGAAAAAUAAAAGAUAUUUCAGAUAACUCAGGUACUCAAAAAACUGGCUUUCCACACACCUUUUCUUGACAGCAUGUUACUGGAAUGUGUGCUUCAGGAAAUGAAGAAGACAGGGGAUCUGGGAAAAAGGGAAUCCAACAUAGGAGACCCUGACUGUAGCAGGACAGGGAUGGGGGUGGGGGUGAUUGCCAAGAAAAUAAAGACUAGAUGGCCAGUGUGUUUAAGCAUUUGAAGUAAACUGCCGGGCAUUUGAGAAACCUGCCAGAGCAUUUGGGGGAAGUUGGCAGUAGAUAUAAAGAAAACUAAGCAAGUUUUAAAAAUAAAAAUAUUAGCUCCAGGAAAAAAACAAAUAUUUGUGUAUGAAAGGAAACGCAAUCGUAAUACGCUGCUUGGCUUACCAGCGAGCAAUAUUUAGUCAAAAUAAUACACAUCGUUGGCAGUUUAGCCCAAGUGGAUUAAAACUUAUGACCGCUCUACUAUAAGGGAUGGGAAGGAACAGUGGUGGCGAAAGAAAUACAUCCUCACCAAUGACAACAGGAAGUUAAACAGUAUCUAAAAUUUUGAUAGGUCAAAAACGGCAGUGUAAGCAUAUUACUGAAAAGCACGAAAGUAAAUAUGAGCAGAAAAAGCCCAAUACUUGGAAAGUGGCAAUCUGGGAAGCACUCUGCUUAGAAGUAAGGAGGAGUGGGACAGAGGACUGUCGUUUGCGAUGUAAGUCAACGUCUUCAAUUUCUAAAUUAUUGAUAUGCAUUUUGGGGUAAGAAUCAUAAUUCUGUUUUCAAGUGAAAUGCUUAAUGCCAAGAUAAAAUAAAAUGUAGGUGCCAUCCUUUCAUCGUCCCUCGGAAGGAACCUCCUUACUUGACUCAUUCAUCCAUCUGUUCACUCGGAAAAGAAAAACACACCAGUCAGGAACCAAGAGCCAGGGUUUUCAGGGUAUCCAGUCUACCACAGAGCUGGAACAGAAGUCAGGAUGAGACAAGAACAGGAAUUUCAGAAAACUUCAGAGGCUCUGCUGGCUUCCUCCUGCCCCACAUUCGGGCCAGAAGCAACGGGGCGGCCUUUCUUUCCUGACUUCUCGGAUCCCAAACUGGAGAGCUAGUGUGAGAAAACCAGUUUCAAGGAGAAGCUGAGUGGUUCUUCUUAACCGCAAGGCUAUUCUGAAUAAAGAUGUGUUUGCAAAGGAAAGUUACAAGAAAACAAAGCUCUACUCCUCCCGUGAAAACAUACGCACUCACACACAUACACUACAUUUGCGCGUGCACACACACACACACACACACACACCCAUGCACGCGAAGGGACAAAUCACCUCCCAGCCUCAGACAGAUCAUUCAUUCCACUUGGGAUUCCGCCACACCCCCAAACCGUGGGCUGCCCCACCUUCCUUGUCCGACUCCUCUACCCCUCAAACCUUCAACAUUAUCUGUACUUUGGGUGUUAGGAAGAACUCCAAGGGACUGUUAAAAUUCCUAAGUGGUAAUACAUUUUUAAUGUGUUGAGUAUUACUUAAAAUAAAUGGACCACAAUCAUAGGCUUUGGAAGACUCAAAGAGACCUAUCACAGGGGCAUUCGUGUAAACAGAAAUUUACAGUUUGCCUAUUCCUUUUACGUGACAGACUCCA
Molecule: long non-coding RNA, 2929 nt
Organism: Felis catus (domestic cat)
Lineage: Eukaryota; Metazoa; Chordata; Mammalia; Carnivora; Felidae
Exons: 3
Source: RefSeq, a predicted model, not a curated record